This 86-nucleotide small RNA is filed under the name Pedobacter terrae. Its description in RNAcentral is "Flavo-1 RNA". It matches the Rfam family "Flavo-1 RNA". Lineage: Bacteria; Pseudomonadati; Bacteroidota; Sphingobacteriia; Sphingobacteriales; Sphingobacteriaceae. The record is from RNAcentral.
UCGUAAACGGGAUGGCAGCGGCAUCCUUUGGCUGUCAGCCUGAGCGGCGAAGGUCAGACAAGAUACAGCGUACAGCCCGGGUGACG